AGCGAACGCUGGCGGCAGGCCUAACACAUGCAAGUCGAACGAACCUUUCGGGGUUAGUGGCGGACGGGUGAGUACCACGUGGGAACGUGCCUUUAGGUUCGGUAUCACUCAGGGAAACUUGUGCUAAUACCGAAUGUGCCCUUCGGGGGUAAGAUGUAUCGCCUUUGGAGCGGCCCGCGUCUGAUUCGCUAGUUGGUUGAGGUAAUGGCACACCACGGCGACGAGCAGGAGCUGGUCGGUGCGGAGGAUCAGCCACGUUGGGACUGAGACACGGCCCAAACUGCGACGGGAGGCAGCAGAGGAGAAUCUUGCGCAAUGGGGGAAAGCCUGACGAAGCCAUGCCGGGUGAAUGAGGAAGGGCUUAGGAUUGUAAAAUUCUUUCAGAGGGGGCGAUAAUGACGGUACCCGGAGAAGAAGCCCCGGCUAACUACGUG
RNAcentral lists this ribosomal RNA (434 nucleotides) under uncultured bacterium. RNAcentral's name for it is "partial 16S ribosomal RNA". It matches the Rfam family "Bacterial small subunit ribosomal RNA", at positions 29 to 507 of the family's 1533-position model. The record is from RNAcentral.